GUCCACGCCGUAAACUAUGGAUGCUAGCCGUCGGAUAGCUUGCUAUUCGGUGGCGCAGCUAACGCAUUAAGCAUCCCGCCUGGGGAGUACGGCCGCAAGGUUAAAACUCAAAGGAAUUGACGGGGGCCCGCACAAGCGGUGGAGCAUGUGGUUUAAUUCGACGCAACGCGAAGAACCUUACCAGCCCCUUGACAUGUCCGGACGGUUUCCAGAGAUGGAUUCCUCCUAGCAAUAGGUCGGAACACAGGUGCUGCAUGGCUGUCGU
This 265-nucleotide ribosomal RNA is filed under the name uncultured bacterium. RNAcentral describes it as "partial 16S ribosomal RNA". It matches the Rfam family "Bacterial small subunit ribosomal RNA", at positions 793 to 1055 of the family's 1533-position model. The record is from RNAcentral.